This 407-nucleotide ribosomal RNA is filed under the name uncultured bacterium. RNAcentral's name for it is "partial 16S ribosomal RNA". It matches the Rfam family "Bacterial small subunit ribosomal RNA", at positions 28 to 526 of the family's 1533-position model. The record is from RNAcentral.
GACGAACGCUGGCGGCGUGCCUAAAACAUGCAAGUAGAACGCAGUUGCGAACGGGUGAGUAACGCGUAGGUAACUGCCUGGUAGCGGGGGAUAACUAUUGGAAGCGAUAGCUAAUACAGCAUACUAACAGAUGGAACUGCUUUGUAUUAGCUAGCUGGUGAGGUACCGGCGCACCAAGGCAACGAUACAUAGCAGACCUGAGAGGGUGAUCGGCCACACUGGGACUUAGAAACGGCCCAGACCCCUACGGGAUGCAGCAGUAGGGAAUCUUCGGCAAUUGACGGAAGGCUGACCGAGCAACUCCGGGUGAGUGAAGAAGGUUUUCGGAUCGUAAAGCUCUUUUGUAAGAGAAGCGGUAUCUUACCAGAAAGGGACGGCUAACUACGUGCCAGCAGCCGCGGUAAUAC